GACGAACGCUGGCGGCGUGCCUAAUACAUGCAAGUUGAGCGCUGAAGGUUGGUACUUGUACCAACUGGAUGAGCAGCGAACGGGUGAGUAACGCGUGGGGAAUCUGCCUUUGAGCGGGGGACAACAUUUGGAAACGAAUGCUAAUACCGCAUAAAAACUUUAAACACAAGUUUUAAGUUUGAAAGAUGCAAUUGCAUCACUCAAAGAUGAUCCCGCGUUGUAUUAGCUAGUUGGUGAGGUAAAGGCUCACCAAGGCGAUGAUACAUAGCCGACCUGAGAGGGUGAUCGGCCACAUUGGGACUGAGACACGGCCCAAACUCCUACGGGAGGCAGCAGUAGGGAAUCUUCGGCAAUGGACGAAAGUCUGACCGAGCAACGCCGCGUGAGUGAAGAAGGUUGUUGGAUCGUAAAACUCUGUUGGUAGAGAAGAACGUUGGUGAGAGUGGAAAGCUCAUCAAGUGACGGUAACUACCCAGAAAGGGACGGCUAACUACGUG
Molecule: ribosomal RNA, 497 nt
Filed under: uncultured bacterium
Lineage: Bacteria
Description: partial 16S ribosomal RNA
Rfam family: Bacterial small subunit ribosomal RNA
Source: RNAcentral